GGCUCAUUGACGGCGCCCCGGCUUAUACCGUCAGCCGGAUUUUGGACAUCCGUCGCCGGGGUCGUGGCCAUCAAUACCUCGUGGACUGGGAGGGUUAUGGUCCGGAAGAACGCUCAUGGGUCUCCCGUUCUUUGAUUCUGGACCCUACCCUCAUCUCUGACUUUUUCCGUUCGCACCCGGAUCGGCGCCCCGGACCGCCUGGAGGCGGUCGUUGAGGGGGGGGUACUGUCAUGGUGCCUGGCAGACUCCUCCCCCUCCAGCCCUGCCUGCUCUUCUCCCUGAUUGCCACCAGCUGACUUCACUCACCUCAUUUGCCAUGCUGCUUAAAAGGAGACCUCACUCAUCAGUUCGACGCCAGUUCGUUGCCCAUUAUGGAUACCCACAUCUCACGAGUGACGUCAGCACUGCCUUCCACUCUGUGGCUCUUGGGAUCAUCUGAAGACCUCCCGGAUCACACUCACCGCUUUAAGCCCUCCAGCCACGCCAUCAGCCGCCGUCAAGACCGGACCUCAUUCAUCCACAACUACUACCAGCUUUGGAGAAUCAAUAAAUCCUUUCUCACCAAA
This is a non-coding RNA of Oryzias latipes (Japanese medaka), 566 nucleotides long. Lineage: Eukaryota; Metazoa; Chordata; Actinopteri; Beloniformes; Adrianichthyidae. The record is from RefSeq and is a predicted model, not a curated record.